This is a long non-coding RNA of Bombus impatiens (common eastern bumble bee), 1191 nucleotides long. RefSeq lists it as uncharacterized. The record is from RefSeq and is a predicted model, not a curated record. The transcript is spliced from 3 exons. Lineage: Eukaryota; Metazoa; Arthropoda; Insecta; Hymenoptera; Apidae.
AGAGAAGCAAGAAAAAAGCAUGAAGCAAGUCCAUUCUCGAAAUGAAAAGAACCAUCUUCGAAGGGCGGUCGAGACGAAAGAAAUGGAAUAUUUCAUUCAGAUGAAACGUACGCGAUAUUUAGAGCUAUUUGUAUCGCCAUGUAAACGUCGAUCCGAUAAAACGUCAAUCUGAUCGAGAUUGAGAAUCACUGGGGAAGUUGUAAGGGGGUGGUCUGGCAGGGCGUCGCCGCGUCUCCACCACCCCCACGAGCUAUCGACCGAAAGAGAAGCGAGAAAGAGAAUCGACGGACAGAGCGAGAGAAGCGGGAGAGUAACAACGACAGAAGAAAAGGGGGACCUAGGGUGAAAAGAAAGAGAGAAAUAACGCUGUGCAGGAGCGAGCAGGAAGGCAAUACGCAGCGUUUACUAUAGUCGCGCAAAACAGUUACAACCUAUAUAUACGUAUAUGUAUUUUGUGAGUCGUCGUCGUCGUCGUGGAACACUUCGCACCCUUAAAGGAGAACUCGAAGAAAGAAAGAGAAAAAUGACGCGUCAAAAUCUAUAACGAAUGAAUGUGAAGAUGUGGAGAACAAAGAGAGAUGAAACAUUAAAGGAAUCGUAAUUUGAAUGAGAGAGUUGAGCAAGGAAUAAGAUUUACAGGGAGGAAUUAGAGGACACGGUAUAGCGAGUGUUACGUAAGGGAACGAUAUACGGGUUGUGGAUAAUGGCUACAGUGAUGUGAAAAGGGAGACGCGAGUAAGCGUUGAAAGUAUGAAGGGAGAUUGUGAAAGAUGGAAAAAAGAAGAGAAACGAGUGGAGGAAGAAUUAUGAAGUGCUUGAAUUAAUUGGAGAAUCGUUAAAUCGAAUGGGGUGAACUAACGAAGAUGCUGUGAGAAUACAAUAUUCAUUCAGAUUCGUACAUUUUUUAAAUUGUAGUAUCCGGUUAGAUAAACAAUAGACCUUCUUGUUACACGUUUUCUAUUAGAAGUCAUCCAUUUUAGAAUAGAAGACAAUUUUUGGUUGAAACGAACUAUAUUGUUUGUGUGUAUUUUAUUGCUACCUUUUAUGAAGCCGUUAGUAGAAAGAUAUUAAAUUAAAGACAUGAGGUAACAUAGAUGAAUAGAUAAGUUUCAACAUGGAUAUAUAUAGACGAGUUUUUAUAGUCAAUGAUAGAAUGUCCAUAUGCGGACGAGUUUUCGCAGUAAAUAAAAA